Molecule: ribosomal RNA, 447 nt
Filed under: uncultured bacterium
Lineage: Bacteria
Description: partial 16S ribosomal RNA
Rfam family: Bacterial small subunit ribosomal RNA
Source: RNAcentral
AGCGAACGCUGGCGGCAGGCCUAACACAUGCAAGUCGAACGAGCCUUCGGGCUAGUGGCGGACGGGUGAGUAACACGUGGGAACGUACCUUUAGGUUAGGAAUAACUCAGGGAAACUUGAGCUAAUACCGGAUGUGCCCUUCGGGGGAAAGAUUUAUCGCCUUUAGAGCGGCCCGCGUUAGAUUAGCUAGUUGGUGGGGUAAUGGCCCACCAAGGCUACGAUCUAUAGCUGGUCUGAGAGAAUGAUCAGCCACACUGGGACUGAGACACGGCCCAGACUCCUACGGGAGGCAGCAGUGGGGAAUCUUGCGCAAUGGGCGAAAGCCUGACGCAGCCAUGCCGCGUGAAUGAUGAAGGUCUUAGGAUUGUAAAAUUCUUUUAGCAGGGACGAUAAUGACGGUACCUGCAGAAAAAGCCCCGGCUAACUUCGUGCCAGCCGCCGCCGUAA